This 2258-nucleotide ribosomal RNA is filed under the name Staphylococcus aureus MISS6132. Its description in RNAcentral is "bacterial LSU rRNA". It matches the Rfam family "Bacterial large subunit ribosomal RNA", at positions 3 to 2259 of the family's 2925-position model. RNAcentral also lists the same sequence under 2 other names. Lineage: Bacteria; Bacillati; Bacillota; Bacilli; Caryophanales; Staphylococcaceae. The record is from RNAcentral.
UUAAGUUAUUAAGGGCGCACGGUGGAUGCCUUGGCACUAGAAGCCGAUGAAGGACGUUACUAACGACGAUAUGCUUUGGGGAGCUGUAAGUAAGCUUUGAUCCAGAGAUUUCCGAAUGGGGAAACCCAGCAUGAGUUAUGUCAUGUUAUCGAUAUGUGAAUACAUAGCAUAUCAGAAGGCACACCCGGAGAACUGAAACAUCUUAGUACCCGGAGGAAGAGAAAGAAAAUUCGAUUCCCUUAGUAGCGGCGAGCGAAACGGGAAGAGCCCAAACCAAAAAGCUUGCUUGUUGGGGUUGUAGGACACUCUAUACGGAGUUACAAAGGACGACAUUAGACGAAUCAUCUGGAAAGAUGAAUCAAAGAAGGUAAUAAUCCUGUAGUCGAAAAUGUUGUCUCUCUUGAGUGGAUCCUGAGUACGACGGAGCACGUGAAAUUCCGUCGGAAUCUGGGAGGACCAUCUCCUAAGGCUAAAUACUCUCUAGUGACCGAUAGUGAACCAGUACCGUGAGGGAAAGGUGAAAAGCACCCCGGAAGGAGAGUGAAAUAGAACCUGAAACCGUGUGCUUACAAGUAGUCAGAGCCCGUUAAUGGGUGAUGGCGUGCCUUUUGUAGAAUGAACCGGCGAGUUACGAUUUGAUGCAAGGUUAAGCAGUAAAUGUGGAGCCGUAGCGAAAGCGAGUCUGAAUAGGGCGUUUAGUAUUUGGUCGUAGACCCGAAACCAGGUGAUCUACCCUUGGUCAGGUUGAAGUUCAGGUAACACUGAAUGGAGGACCGAACCGACUUACGUUGAAAAGUGAGCGGAUGAACUGAGGGUAGCGGAGAAAUUCCAAUCGAACCUGGAGAUAGCUGGUUCUCUCCGAAAUAGCUUUAGGGCUAGCCUCAAGUGAUGAUUAUUGGAGGUAGAGCACUGUUUGGACGAGGGGCCCCUCUCGGGUUACCGAAUUCAGACAAACUCCGAAUGCCAAUUAAUUUAACUUGGGAGUCAGAACAUGGGUGAUAAGGUCCGUGUUCGAAAGGGAAACAGCCCAGACCACCAGCUAAGGUCCCAAAAUAUAUGUUAAGUGGAAAAGGAUGUGGCGUUGCCCAGACAACUAGGAUGUUGGCUUAGAAGCAGCCAUCAUUUAAAGAGUGCGUAAUAGCUCACUAGUCGAGUGACACUGCGCCGAAAAUGUACCGGGGCUAAACAUAUUACCGAAGCUGUGGAUUGUCCUUUGGACAAUGGUAGGAGAGCGUUCUAAGGGCGUUGAAGCAUGAUCGUAAGGACAUGUGGAGCGCUUAGAAGUGAGAAUGCCGGUGUGAGUAGCGAAAGACGGGUGAGAAUCCCGUCCACCGAUUGACUAAGGUUUCCAGAGGAAGGCUCGUCCGCUCUGGGUUAGUCGGGUCCUAAGCUGAGGCCGACAGGCGUAGGCGAUGGAUAACAGGUUGAUAUUCCUGUACCACCUAUAAUCGUUUUAAUCGAUGGGGGGACGCAGUAGGAUAGGCGAAGCGUGCGAUUGGAUUGCACGUCUAAGCAGUAAGGCUGAGUAUUAGGCAAAUCCGGUACUCGUUAAGGCUGAGCUGUGAUGGGGAGAAGACAUUGAGUCUUCGAGUCGUUGAUUUCACACUGCCGAGAAAAGCCUCUAGAUAGAAAAUAGGUGCCCGUACCGCAAACCGACACAGGUAGUCAAGAUGAGAAUUCUAAGGUGAGCGAGCGAACUCUCGUUAAGGAACUCGGCAAAAUGACCCCGUAACUUCGGGAGAAGGGGUGCUCUUUAGGGUUAACGCCCAGAAGAGCCGCAGUGAAUAGGCCCAAGCGACUGUUUAUCAAAAACACAGGUCUCUGCUAAACCGUAAGGUGAUGUAUAGGGGCUGACGCCUGCCCGGUGCUGGAAGGUUAAGAGGAGUGGUUAGCUUCUGCGAAGCUACGAAUCGAAGCCCCAGUAAACGGCGGCCGUAACUAUAACGGUCCUAAGGUAGCGAAAUUCCUUGUCGGGUAAGUUCCGACCCGCACGAAAGGCGUAACGAUUUGGGCACUGUCUCAACGAGAGACUCGGUGAAAUCAUAGUACCUGUGAAGAUGCAGGUUACCCGCGACAGGACGGAAAGACCCCGUGGAGCUUUACUGUAGCCUGAUAUUGAAAUUCGGCACAGCUUGUACAGGAUAGGUAGGAGCCUUUGAAACGUGAGCGCUAGCUUACGUGGAGGCGCUGGUGGGAUACUACCCUAGCUGUGUUGGCUUUCUAACCCGCACCACUUAUCGUGGUGGGAGACAGUGUCA